ACGAACGCUGGCGGCGUGCUUAACACAUGCAAGUCGAACGAUGAACCACUUCGGUGGGGAUUAGUGGCGAACGGGUGAGUAACACGUGGGCAAUCUGCCCUGCACUCUGGGACAAGCCCUGGAAACGGGGUCUAAUACCGGAUAUUGACCUUCACGGGCAUCUGUGAGGUUCGAAAGCUCCGGCGGUGCAGGAUGAGCCCGCGGCCUAUCAGCUUGUUGGUGAGGUAAUGGCUCACCAAGGCGACGACGGGUAGCCGGCCUGAGAGGGCGACCGGCCACACUGGGACUGAGACACGGCCCAG
RNAcentral lists this ribosomal RNA (302 nucleotides) under uncultured Streptomyces sp. RNAcentral describes it as "bacterial SSU rRNA". It matches the Rfam family "Bacterial small subunit ribosomal RNA", at positions 29 to 334 of the family's 1533-position model. Lineage: Bacteria; Bacillati; Actinomycetota; Actinomycetes; Kitasatosporales; Streptomycetaceae. The record is from RNAcentral.